AUGGACUCUCCCCACCUCCUGCACUUGGGUUUCCUGCUCCUGGCUCUUGCUGCUCCAAGUAUUGCCAUGCCCACUGUUGACCCUGCUGAAGGGAGAGAAGACCCUUCCUCUGACAGCACAACUGUGACAGUCUACCACUGUAAGGACUACAAGAGCUGCACAUGCAAGUCUAGAGAAAAUAAUUUUAAAAACUUUAAAAUAAUCGCUGAAACACAAAACAAGACAUUUUCAGAUGUACUAAUUGAGCUGGUGACCAAUGAAACACACAUGACUGUUUGCUUUGAGCAAGAAAAUUCCUGUCUUGAAGGAAUUUAUGGCGUCUUCUGGCAGAAAUCUGGGGGAGCAGGACUCUCCUGUGGCAUUCUGAAUUAUGGAGAAAAUGGAAGAGGUAACAUCAGUACUGAGGAGAAGAAUAUUUGCUGUGAAGCAGAGACAAAUAUCUGGAGACACAACCCUACCCUGAGGUGCUACACUCAAAAGUCACAUUCAAAACUCAUCACACUGCCAGUUGAGUCUCCUGGUAAUCCUGAACUUCUCACCAGCAGCAAGAAGACCAGCAUUGGCAUCUUGCUCUCAUUCCUGUUUGUUGGCGUUUGUGCAGGAUGUGCUGUCACGUAUUACUUCCUGCGGCGGCGGCGCGGCCAAGGAAAGGAACUGAGCUAUCAGUGUUGCAUCCUGACAAGAAGGAAUUUCCUCACUGCUUUCUCCUGA
Molecule: long non-coding RNA, 711 nt
Filed under: Parus major (Great Tit)
Lineage: Eukaryota; Metazoa; Chordata; Aves; Passeriformes; Paridae
Description: lncRNA (ENSPMJG00000008396.1)
Source: RNAcentral